CGUAGGAGGCGAGCGUAAUCCGGAUUUACUGGGUGUAAAGCGCGUUCAGGCGGUCAUGUAAGUGGUGCGUGAAAGCGCCCGGCUCAACCGGGCGAGGCCGUGCCAAACUGCGUGACUGGAGGCAGGUAGAGGCGCGUGGAAUUCCGGGUGUAGUGGUGAAAUGCGUAGAUAUCCGGAGGAACACCAGUGGCGAAGGCGGUGCGCUGGGCCUGACCUGACGCUAAGACGCGAAAGCAUGGGGAGCGAACGGGAUUAGAAACCCCGGUAGUCCAUGCUGUAAUCGCUGCAGACUAGGUGUUGCGUGCGACGAGUAUGCAGUGCCGAAGCCAACGUGAUAAGUCUGCCACCUGGGGACUACGGCCGCAAGGUUAAAACUCAAAGGAAUUGACGGGGGCCCGCACAAGCAGCGGAGCGUGUGGUUUAAUUCGAGGCUACACGAAGAACCUUACCUGGGCUUGACAUGGCGGUGGUAGGGAACCGAAAGGGGACCGACCUUCGGGAGCCGUCACAGGUGCUGCAUGGCUGUCGUCAGCUCGUGUCGUGAGAUGUUCGGUUAAGUCCGGUAACGAGCGCAACCCUCGCCGCUAGUUACAAGUGUCUAGCGGGACUGCCCGUUGAACGCGGGAGGAAGGUGGGGAUGACGUCAAGUCAGCAUGGCCUUUAUGUCGAGGGCUACACACACGCUACAAUGGCCGGUACAAUGGGUCGCCAACCCGCGAGGGGGAGCCAAUCCAUCAAAGCCGGUCUCAGUUCGGAUUGCAGGCUGCAACCCGCCUGCAUGAAGUCGGAGUUGCUAGUAACCGCAGGUCAGCUAUACUGCGGUGAAUACGUUCCCGGGCAUUGUACACACCGCCCGUCAAGCCAUGGAAGCACGGGGGUACCUGAAGUCCGUAACCGCAAGGAGCGGCACUAGGGUAAAACUGGUAACUGGGGCUAAGUCGUACUAAG
RNAcentral lists this ribosomal RNA (948 nucleotides) under uncultured organism. RNAcentral describes it as "bacterial SSU rRNA". It matches the Rfam family "Bacterial small subunit ribosomal RNA", at positions 526 to 1495 of the family's 1533-position model. The record is from RNAcentral.